Molecule: transfer RNA, 76 nt
Filed under: Oryza punctata
Lineage: Eukaryota; Viridiplantae; Streptophyta; Magnoliopsida; Poales; Poaceae
Description: tRNA-Val
Source: RNAcentral
CUUCUUGCAAAAUCAAUGUCUUACUUCAUGGAUUCGAGAGUUUUCAUUUCCCUAUUAGUACUUGUUUAUAAACUGG